Long non-coding RNA from Trichechus manatus latirostris (Florida manatee), 4742 nucleotides. RefSeq lists it as uncharacterized. The record is from RefSeq and is a predicted model, not a curated record. Lineage: Eukaryota; Metazoa; Chordata; Mammalia; Sirenia; Trichechidae. The transcript is spliced from 5 exons.
AGCCAAAACCAAUGGCAAUAGACUUUGUUGCUGGCCGGGCUUUCUUGCUCUUCCACCAAUCGUUUUAAGAUUUGACUCGGGAGUGACAUCUUGCUAGCCCAAUGACGCACUACCCACCCACACUCAGCACUUCGGAGGGGAUAAAUCAAGGAGCCCGCACCUAUAGAUUCCGUUAUUAGUCAGUACUGGAUGAAGAGACGAGGAGGAGAGAAACAGCGCGAGGGAGAGGCACUAAUGAUCUAAAAAAAGAAAAAAGAUGACGACUGCGCCAAGCCAGCUCGGCCGCCAUCAUGCUCUAGUUUCCCCUGCGCCUCGCUCGGCCUGCGACCGAGGAAGCGGCCUCUGGGAUGCUGAGGGGGUGUGUCCCAGAGUGAUUGGCGCAGGCAGCUCAGCCAGUCAUAGCGCGUCAAACGGAAGCAGUUAACCAAUGAGGGGCGACUGCAGCGGCGAGGCAUUGGAGGGGCGGAACUGCAGCUUGACGGGCACAAAAAACAGCCAGUGAGAGCUAAAAGCCUCCUCCCUCUGACCAAUGGAGUGGAGGUCUGGGCGGGCCCCCGAGUGUUUGUGUUGUGGUUUUGGGGGAGGGAGGCGGAGGGGAAAGUUUGUUUAUUUUGUUUUUAGUUUCUGGGGUCCCCGUGUUUCUGGGAGGUGAAGCGGGAGGGAGUGACCCCCGCACCCCUCAGUCUCCCUACCACGUCGCCUCCAGAGUCUGCCGAGAAGCGGGGUCCGCCCGCCUCGCAGCGCCUCACAGCGGAACGCCGGGCACUCGGAGCCGGCAGCGGCUCGGCGGGUUUUGGUUUUUUGCACUGAAUGUAGCCUAGACUCAUCUUCACGGGCUUGUGUUGCCCCAGGAUACUGUCACAGGCAGUAUUUGUGUGUUUCUGCGGAGUUUUGCACAGUCUACUCCCAUGCAAACCAAUGAGGGAGAAAUAUCGGAAGAAAGCAGCUCCAAGGCGAAAGAUUUGAACAAACACUUCAGAGAAUCGAUGACAAAGAGGCUUGUGAAAAGAUGCUCAACACGAGUGCAAGUAAAACCACAAUGAGAUAAACGAUCCUCAACACGAGUGCAAGUAAAACCACCAUGAGAUGAACCUAUCAGAGAUACUCAUCUAGUAGAAUGGCUAAAAUUAAAAAGACUUACCGUACCAAGUAUUGAUGAGGGUGUGGGAUAACCGGAACUCUCAUACAUUGCUGGUAGGGAUGUAAAAUGCUUCAACCACUAUGAAAACAUUUGGACUGUUUCUUAAAAAGGUGGAACAGGAGGAUUUUGUAAUGGAAGGGCAUGGCAAGACUCCACCUCCUGGCGAAGAAAGCAAACAGUGAGUCACAGUUUAUUUAAAAAGAGUUCUAUUACAGAUUGUCUGAAGCACUUUGGUUAAACAUACUGAGAGCCUGUUUGCAUGAGACAUACACAUUGGGGAUGUUGAGGGUCUCACCAGUUGCUUCGGUGGCUGUUACUACAUUGCUUCCAUCUGUAAACCAACUAACUAGAGGGGCAAGAAAGUUGGCUUUGUAGUUUUGCACACUUGAGUAAUCAAAACUGAUGUUACACUUUAGUAAAAGGUUUAAGGCUCAGGAUGUUACAAAUUGAACUGAGUUUCGUUGAUUUCCAAAAAAGAAUGUAUAAAAUAGCACAUCCUUUUCUUAGCAAUACCUUUAUGAAGUGAACUAAAUUAAUAGACUGGUUCUCCGCAUUCCGAGUGUGAAUUUAUUUGAAUAGUGCUUCCUGAAAUUCUAUUCCAUUUAGUUAUUUGUACUUCUCAUCUUUGUUUAAAUAACAAAUUGUUUCCCUAAAGGAACAAGAAUUAUAAAUAAUACAACUUAGCCAACAUUUUAAAUAAUUUAAGAUAUCUCCCGUGACUUCUUAAAGGGUGAUUGGUUUUAAAAUGGAAAUUGGGAGUCGGCUGGGUAGUUUUUUGAUGGUAGUGAGUAGACUUUUUCCUCUGUCUGUCACAGAAUUUGAAAAAUGGUGUUGCAGAGCAGACUGGUUUUUCAUAUGUCCUUUUAAAGGAAUAACAGUUAAGACUGAUUUAAAGUACUGACACAACGACUGUUUUUUAUUCGACAGUAGUUUUUUAAGUUGAAUGGGGCAGUGAUUCAUGGAAUUUACUGAAAAUCUGAAGAGAAAAACUUCUUUCCCUCGUCUUUUUUUGUUUUUCCCCUGAAAAAUAGUUUAGUUUUGGUCUGUCUUAUGAAAAUUAUGUCUUCCAAACCCUUAGGAAUGAAUUGUGCAGAAUGGUCUAUGCCUCCAGGAGGCCAGAUUCAUUAAAGGAGAAUAGUGUGUCUUGUUUUUGUUGUGAAUGGAAACCAGGAUAUUUUCACAGUUGGUUUAAUUUGCUAACCAGGCAGUUUUAAAAAUAGCUUACAAUAUAAAUCCUAACUUUGCUGUAUUCUGUCAAACGCACUUAUAUUCUGCAUGGUCUAACAGAAUCAAUUCAUUUUCAGCAAAUUAGAAUGCCAAACAUCUAGUCUCAGUGAAAUUACAGCAGAAACACUUCGGCCUGCCCCCUACCCACUUCUGUCUAUUCCCACCCCAACUCUGGUCAAAGGUCUUAUAAUAUAAAAAUCAUAGCUCCCAUUUGUCAAAAGUCUUUUCUGCCCAAGGUACUUUGCUUAGAUACUUGGUAUAUGUUAUUUCCACUUGUUGUGUGUAUUGUCAUCAUUUCACUCAGGGAUCAAGUUUGGUAACUUGUCGGUGGUAAUGCCGCGUAAUGGCAGUAAAGAUUUGAACCUGGACCUUUCUGACUUAAAGUGUUUUAUUACAUCAUGGCCUUGAACCCGUAUCUUUUGCCAACCUUGGGCAUUAUGUUCCUGGAAAGUACUGUGGUCAACAAAAGUGCAGUUGUCAAGAUCAAAGUCUCAGGGAUAAGAGGGAGUUGGGGGGAAACAAUGAAAAUGGCAUUAAGUCCAUUUUUAAAACACAGAUGCAACUAGAAGGUAUCCGUUUCCCAAACAAACCAGUCUUUAUAAAAACCUGCUCUAGUAGGUAACCCCUAUCCUGAAUCAGCUUCUUUAGGUAUUCAGGAGACAUUGCUGGGGCAGAUUUUCCCACAAGUUUUGUAUUAUACAAACUGUGCUUCUUUUACAGAGUCUUAGACAGCCUCAGUGGACUUGAAGUGUCGUGUGUUGUAGCCUUUACCGUUCGUUCUCCCGUGUUUUGUUUCAUGAGUCUCACGCUGCCUAGCCUUGUCACAGAUUGAUUCUGGCUUUUUUGUUUGUUUUUUCUGAGCCUGCUCUGCUAUCAUAUAUUGAAACAAUGAUGCAGAAAGUUAUCUUUUCACUAGGCCUGAACUACGCCCAUAGACCUGCCCACCUCUUCCGAGCAAGCGGGGAGCCUAAGUGCUGUGUUCUUUUGUUAAUGACAACAGCAGUAAAAAGGUUAAAAAAUUAUCUUCUUUAUAUCACAGAAUUGCAGUUGUCAAAGGAUUAUUACUGUACUUUUAUAAACAUGAUUGCGUCUUGGAUAGUGGGAUCUGAACGGAAUACAACACGCUUGGAUCCUAGAAGUGACCCGUUGCUAAUUGACUUACAAAAUUCCCAUCCCUGCUUUCAUUUUUUUAAUUAUAAAAGUAAUACAUGCUUGUUGUAAAAACAUUCAGAUAGUAACUAUGGAUAUGAAAGUGAGAUUGCUCUUUUAUCUUCCUUCUCCUCCUAAUCUUCCUGAACAUUUUCUGUAUAUUUUGAAACAACAACUAAAUAGAUUUUUUUCCCCAACAUAAUUCUUCUGAGACUUGCUCUUUUCAUUGGACAACUUUCGCAGUCUAUCCCAUUCUUUUAAACAUCUGCAGCUGUACCAUAAUUUAAUCAUUCUUCUCUAAUAGGUAUUUUUGUGGUUUUCGUUUUAUUACAAAUAAUAUCUUAUUGAACAUCCUUAUUCUUGUAUCUUUAUACAUAGGUGUACUUCUGUACAACAGAUUUCUAAAUAUGGAGCUGUUUGGUUAAAGGGCAUGCGUAUUUUACAUUGAGGUAACUGCUAUCUCAUUGCCUUCCAGAAAAGCAAUGCCAGUCAAUGUUCACUCCUAUCAGCACUGUGUGGGCCGGCCCAUUUCCCCACACCUUUGACUGCAGUAAAAUAUGUAAUCUUUAAACUUUGUCACUCUGAAAUUUUAUUGUCUUAAUGUGCACUUUUCUGCUUACUAAUGAGAUGGAAUAUUGUUUGUUAGUUUAAUGGCCGUUUAUUUUUAUUUGUGUAUCACCUAUUUAUGUAUUGUUCCUUUAUUUCCAUCAGAUUGUUUUUAUAGCUUUGUAGGAGCCCUUUGUAUAUUGUAGAUACUAACCUUUGUCUAUUGAGAUGUUUGAAAUAUUUUCUCCCAGUCCUUAUCUUUUAACACUGCAGUAUCAUUCAUUCUAAUAAACCUUUUAAAUUUUUAUGUAGUACAGUCUGUCAGUCUUUAUCGGCUUUCAUAUUUUGUGCUUCCUUAGAGAAGUCUUCCCUACCCUAACGUGACUGAAAUAGUGUCUUAGUCGUCUAGUGCUGCUGUAACAGAAAUACUACAAGUGGAUGGCUUUAACAAAGAGAAAUUUAUUCUGUCACAGUCUACGAGGCUAGAAGUCUGAAUUCAGGGGGCCAGCUCCAGGGGAACGUCUUCUGUCUCUAUUGGCUCUGGGGGAAGGUCCUUUUUAUCAGUUUUCCCUGGUGAAGGAGCUUCUCCGCCUAGGGACCCCGGGUCCAAAGGAUGAGCUAUUCUCCUGGCACUAGUUUCUUGAUGAUAUGAGGUCCCCCAUCUCUUUGCUCUCUUCUC